Etheostoma spectabile (orangethroat darter) is the source of this 105-nucleotide small nuclear RNA. NCBI's taxonomy places the organism in Eukaryota, Metazoa, Chordata, Actinopteri, Perciformes, Percidae. The record is from RefSeq and is a predicted model, not a curated record.
UGCUGCUAGCUCAGACAGCACAUAUGAAAAAAUGUAAUGAUACAGGGAAGAGCAUGGCCCCUGCGCAAAGAUGACACUCAUUUAAGAUAGAGAUACACACUUUUU